CCUACGGGUGGCUGCAGUGGGGAAUAUUGGGCAAUGGGCGCAAGCCUGACCCAGCAACGCCGCGUGAAGGAAGAAGGCUCUCGGGUUGUAAACUUCUUUUCUCAGGGACGAAGAAAGUGACGGUACUUGAGGAAUAAGCCACGCCUACUACGUGCCAGCAGCCGCGGUAAUACGUAGGUGGCAAGCGUUAUCCGGAAUUACUGGGUGUACAGGGCGUGUAGGCGGGAAAGCAAGACAGAUGUGAAAACCAUGGGCUCAACCUGUGGCCUGCAUUUGAAAUUGUUUUUCUAGAGUACUGGAGAGGCAGGCGGAAUUCAUGGUGUAGCGGUGAAAUGCGUAGAGAUUAGGAAGAACACCAGUGGCGAAGGCAGUCUACUAAGCUACAACUGACGCUGAGGCGCGAAAGCGUGGGGAGCAAACAGGAUUAGAUACCCCUGUAGUC
Molecule: ribosomal RNA, 442 nt
Filed under: uncultured bacterium
Lineage: Bacteria
Description: partial 16S ribosomal RNA
Rfam family: Bacterial small subunit ribosomal RNA
Source: RNAcentral